Small nuclear RNA from Homo sapiens (human), 82 nucleotides. NCBI's taxonomy places the organism in Eukaryota, Metazoa, Chordata, Mammalia, Primates, Hominidae. The record is from Ensembl.
AGCUUUGUACAAUGGCAGUAUCAUAGCCAAUGAGGUUUAUCUGAGGCAUGAUUAUUGCUAAUUGAAAACUUUAUUUCUUGCG